CUUCCUUUUCUCCUUUUUCUUCCGUUAAUUAAAUGUUUUAGAAAUAUAGGUAGGUGUUGGGCGUACAGAGAGGGAGAACGCAAGCAGCGGACAACUUCUCCCCGCAGAUCCGAUAGGCGUGCUGGGAUGGCAAACGAAGCGGGUCGGGUGCAGGGACACCAACUAUUGUAUUUUCAAAUUGUCCGAGCCCUGGACCCCGGCGGCUCCGCAACGGUGGCUGUCAACACCGCGAGCGAAGGUUCCACGAGCAGCGAGCGGCCUCGCCGGGACGGCCGCAGGUAGCAUGAUCUCUGACAUUUGGCAAAGGGAGAAGGUCCAACCUGUGCAGGGCAUUAUGGAAUGAACAUAUGGAAUCCACUGACUUCAGGAAAUAUUUUCAGAGUGCACACAUAUUUCUUCAAGACGUUAACAUCCCAGGGGAGAAGGAGGAAUAAAAACAUGACAGGGAGUAAUUUAAAAUGGCAGGUACUGCAGUUUUCUUUUCCUGUGCUGGAAACCUGAU
Molecule: long non-coding RNA, 502 nt
Filed under: Felis catus (domestic cat)
Lineage: Eukaryota; Metazoa; Chordata; Mammalia; Carnivora; Felidae
Description: lncRNA (ENSFCAG00000046368.2)
Source: RNAcentral